RNAcentral lists this long non-coding RNA (2212 nucleotides) under Ailuropoda melanoleuca (giant panda). Its description in RNAcentral is "lncRNA (ENSAMEG00000031185.1)". The record is from RNAcentral. Lineage: Eukaryota; Metazoa; Chordata; Mammalia; Carnivora; Ursidae.
UAUUUUUUAAGAAAUGCAUUCUCAAAAACAUAAUGCUGAAAUAACACCGUCUGGGUUUGCUUUCAAAUAUUUGAGCAAGAAAAACGGGGCUGGGGCGGACAGACGAAACUAGUGCGGCGGAAUCUUACUUAUUAUUAAGUUUGAGCGAUGAGUAUAUGCGGGCUCAUCAGUCUUCGCUCAACUUUUGUGUAGGCUUAAAUUUUCGUAAGGGUUUUUCUAAAUUUUCGAAAAAGAGCAUUCCGUCACUCAUCUUGUGUUUUUGGCUAAUAUUUAAAAGUGACUUUUUCAUAUAUUUACGUCACAAAACUCCCGCGCACUCCGGCGAGGAACCCAAAGCCGGACCAUAACGGGUCGCUGUGCUGUGACGCACUGAACGCUGCGACCCCCGCGCCCCUCGCGCCCUCAGGAACUCGCGCGAACUCCCGGGCCGGGCGCGCGAGAGGGCCCGCGGGAAUUUCCGGGGAAGUCCCGACCAGAGAGUGGCCGCGUUUCCUAGAAAGUUACCGGAAGUGGGGUGGUGGAGGACUAGGAAGUGGAGCUGGCACAGUUUUCCCUGGUUUCUGGUUUCUGGUUUCUGUUUUCCGGGGGGGGGGGGGNNGGGGCCGGCGAGGCGGGAGCUCAGCCACCGGGUACCCAGGGUCGCCAGCGGGAGGGGCGGGCUUUGGAGCCGGGUCCGCGGGGAGGGGUCCGCGGCGGGCUCGCCCCCCAGAGGGGGCUCCCCGCAGGUGUUCUGGGUCCCUCCCGCUCCCCCUCUCCCUUUUUGUCCCCCCGAUUCCUGUCCCCCGCAGCGUCCGCGCAUGCAUUCGUUCGCUGAGCCGCUGGGGCAGGCGUUGUUGGAGGCGCUGAAGUCCAGCCGCGAUCAUGGUGGCCAGGAAUGCCCGCCCUCGGGAGCCUGGGAGCCCCCGGUUUCGUGGGGGGACACAGACCACGCACCGCCGACGCCGUAUUUGAGUAACUUACCGUGUUGGAAAGUGGUCGAGUGCUAGUGAAAAGAAUAGAGCAAAGGUAAAAGCCAGGUAACACAUCGGGAUCGGAAGGAGAGAGUAAGUGGCAAUCUUAGGGGGGCCGCGAGAGUCUGGGGAAGAUGACAUACAAGCCAACGCUUGGAAGCGAGGUCAUCUGCCCUGAGGAUUGCUUGAGGUGGAGGGGCGGCCGGUGCAAAGGCCCUGAGGCAGAAAAGAGAGGUCCGUGUGAGUGAGGACGGCUGAACGAGGAGGAGAAGCGUGGGAGCGGUACUCGGCACGCCUGUAGGCAUGCACGCCCGGGCAAGACCCGCUUUCAUUCUGAGUAAGCGAAUGGGAAUGGGCGCUCCGCUGUGUGCAGUAAGCCGGAGGAGACUGGCAGGUUUUACGCGGAGAUGAAAUAAUCCAGUUUAUGGCUUAAGCACAGUACUCUGACUGUCGUAUUGAGAAGAGGCAGAAGGGAAGGACAGACGCGGGGAGACCAGUGAGUAACAGUGGGGAGCAAGGCAGAGGAUGGCGGCUUGGACCAGGAUGGGAGCUGCGGAGGUCCUAGUCCUGACACGUAGUGGUUUCAGUUUGUCUCCCUGGGCCACUCUUCUCCCAGAGAUCAUGCCCAGCAGUUACUUCUGUUUGCUGUGUUCACUGUCCUCUUUUUCCCUUUUCAUGGACUAUUCAGGAAAACAAGAUGUGAGACCACAGCUAGCUGAAUGCUGCUGAUGAACCCCAAAUCCAGGGCCCUGUGUGACACUUGAGGCCAUGUAGAAGCUGCCCUGUGGGUCAGCAGGGGCCCUUUGGUUGGCAUCUCCCAGGCCACGUCCAAACUUGUUGUCUGGGCAAAGCCAGAACUAACUUUGGGAGUUUGACCCAAGCAGCAGGGAAGAACCUGGACUGCAGUGGAAGACUGUAGAGAAAGCUGGGUGAAAAGAUGCAGCAGGUAAGGAAAGGAGGGUCUGCAGCGUUUCCUGAGGAGGAGGAAGGAGAAGUGAGUACAGAAAAGGAAAGCAGUGGAGGCCGUGGUGGAAGUUUCCUGCUUCAAAAUUCAAAAUAGUUUUCCUGGACGGCCUGGUGACCAUGAAAGCUUUCCGGUGAUAGAGAGGAAUUGAAAGACUUUUCUGUUUUUCAUAAGGUGUAUCAGGGACUGAGUCCCUGAAUUUCUCUCCCCUCUGGGUGUGUCUGGGAGUUGAUUUCCAGGGACUAAACUUUAUAGUUGCUUAGAGCUUGUUUUCCUCCCGUCGGUAGCGCCCCUGAGG